UGGGGAAUAUUGGGCAAUGGGCGCAAGCCUGACCCAGCAACGCCGCAUGAAGGAAGAAGGUCUUCGGAUUGUAAACUUCUGUCAUUGGGGACGAAGGAAGUGACGGUACCCAAUGAGGAAGCCCCGGCUAACUACGUGCCAGCAGCCGCGGUAAUACGUAGGGGGCGAGCGUUGUCCGGAAUUACUGGGCGUAAAGGGUGCGUAGGCGGCGAUGCAAGUCCAUUGUGAAAAGCCCGGGCUUAACCUGGGAGGUGCAGUGGAAACUGCAUGGCUUGAGUGCAGGAGAGGAAAGUGGAAUUCCUAGUGUAGCGGUGAAAUGCGUAGAUAUUAGGAGGAACACCAGUGGCGAAGGCGGCUUUCUGGAUUGUAACUGACGCUGAGGCACGAAAGCGUGGGGAGCAAACAG
RNAcentral lists this ribosomal RNA (406 nucleotides) under uncultured bacterium. Its description in RNAcentral is "bacterial SSU rRNA". It matches the Rfam family "Bacterial small subunit ribosomal RNA", at positions 355 to 775 of the family's 1533-position model. The record is from RNAcentral.